AUUGAACGCUGGCGGCAUGCUUUACACAUGCCAGUCGAACGGUAACAGGCCGCAAGGUGCUGACGAGUGGCGAACGGGUGAGUAAUGCAUCGGAACGUGCCCAGUCGUGGGGGAUAACUACUCGAAAGAAUAGCUAAUACCGCAUACGAUCUAUGGAUGAAAGCGGGGGACCGUAAGGCCUCGCGCGAUUGGAGCGGCCGAUGUCAGAUUAGGUAGUUGGUGGGGUAAAGGCUCACCAAGCCAACGAUCUGUAGCUGGUCUGAGAGGACGACCAGCCACACUGGGACUGAGACACGGCCCAGACUCCUACGGGAGGCAGCAGUGGGGAAUUUUGGACAAUGGGCGCAAGCCUGAUCCAGCAAUGCCGCGUGCAGGAAGAAGGCCUUCGGGUUGUAAACUGCUUUUGUACGGAACGAAACGGCUCUGGUUAAUACCCGGGGCUAAUGACGGUACCGUAAGAAUAAGCACCGGCUAACUACGUG
RNAcentral lists this ribosomal RNA (482 nucleotides) under uncultured bacterium. RNAcentral describes it as "partial 16S ribosomal RNA". It matches the Rfam family "Bacterial small subunit ribosomal RNA", at positions 30 to 507 of the family's 1533-position model. The record is from RNAcentral.